RNAcentral lists this ribosomal RNA (478 nucleotides) under uncultured bacterium. RNAcentral describes it as "bacterial SSU rRNA". It matches the Rfam family "Bacterial small subunit ribosomal RNA", at positions 28 to 506 of the family's 1533-position model. The record is from RNAcentral.
GACGAACGCUGGCGGCGUGCCUAACACAUGCAAGUCAACUUGACUGAAGGAGCAAUCUGACAGUAGAGUGGCGCAAGGGUGCGUAACGCGUAAGUAACUUGCCCAAGGUAAGGAAUAACGUCGAGAAAUCGGCGCUAAUACCUCAUAAUGCAGCGGAUCCGCAUGGAUAUGUUGUUAAAGGUUUACCGCCUUGGGAUAGGCUUGCGUCUGAUUAGCUAGUUGGUGUGGUAACGGCACACCAAGGCUACGAUCAGUAACUGGUCUGAGAGGAUGAUCAGUCACACUGGAACUGAGACACGGUCCAGACUCCUACGGGAGGCAGCAGUGAGGAAUAUUGGGCAAUGCUCGAAAGAGUGACCCAGCAACGCCGCGUGGAGGAUGAAGGUAUUCUAUAUCGUAAACUCCUGUGAGAGCAGACGAAAGACAGAUUAUUAAUCUGGAUGACUGUAUGCUCAGAGGAAGCCCCGGCUAACUACGU